Molecule: ribosomal RNA, 557 nt
Filed under: Sphingopyxis sp. TDB-200
Lineage: Bacteria; Pseudomonadati; Pseudomonadota; Alphaproteobacteria; Sphingomonadales; Sphingopyxidaceae
Also listed under: 2 other names
Description: bacterial SSU rRNA
Rfam family: Bacterial small subunit ribosomal RNA
Source: RNAcentral
ACGGGUGCGUAACGCGUGGGAAUCUGCCCUUGGGUACGGAAUAACUCAGAGAAAUUUGUGCUAAUACCGUAUAAUGUCUUCGGACCAAAGAUUUAUCGCCCAAGGAUGAGCCCGCGUAAGAUUAGCUAGUUGGUGAGGUAAAAGCUCACCAAGGCGACGAUCUUUAGCUGGUCUGAGAGGAUGAUCAGCCACACUGGGACUGAGACACGGCCCAGACUCCUACGGGAGGCAGCAGUGGGGAAUAUUGGACAAUGGGCGAAAGCCUGAUCCAGCAAUGCCGCGUGAGUGAUGAAGGCCUUAGGGUUGUAAAGCUCUUUUACCCGGGAUGAUAAUGACAGUACCGGGAGAAUAAGCUCCGGCUAACUCCGUGCCAGCAGCCGCGGUAAUACGGAGGGAGCUAGCGUUGUUCGGAAUUACUGGGCGUAAAGCGCGCGUAGGCGGUUUUUUAAGUCAGAGGUGAAAGCCCGGGGCUCAACCCCGGAAUAGCCUUUGAAACUGGAAAACUUGAAUCUUGGAGAGGUCAGUGGAAUUCCGAGUGUAGAGGUGAAAUUCGUAGA